UAAAAGUUUCAUAACAAGUGCACUUUAUUGUGGCUUAAAAAAACCUUUUUGAUAUAUCAUUAACCCAUCAUAAACCCAAAACUGUCUUGUGUACUUUUGCGAGUAUAGCGUUUCAGUAGUACGCAUCAUGAACUUUAUUGUUCAAGUUGCAUUACCCCCCCUUAUAAGUGACCCCUUUAUUUUUUGAAAUCAUUAAACGUUUUAUGUAAAGUUUUAAGAAUGUAAACAAAUUUUGAAUAUAUAUAACUUUUAACAAUGGAUCUCUUGGCUCU
Molecule: unclassified non-coding RNA, 272 nt
Filed under: rhizosphere metagenome
Description: partial ribosomal RNA internal transcribed spacer region
Source: RNAcentral